RNAcentral lists this long non-coding RNA (776 nucleotides) under Oryctolagus cuniculus (rabbit). RNAcentral describes it as "lncRNA (ENSOCUG00000029908.1)". The record is from RNAcentral. Lineage: Eukaryota; Metazoa; Chordata; Mammalia; Lagomorpha; Leporidae.
AUGUUGCUUUUUCGGAGCUAUCUGCAUAAUUGCUUAAAGAUUUUACUGCAAAAUUAAUAUCCUUGCUGUGAACAAGGGAACAGGGCAAAAACCAGGAUGACAGAGCCUGAGAUGAGGUGAAAAGCAAAUCCAAUUUUUCCUUGCACCAUAGAAACCUCGUCAGGACUAGCUUUAUCUGGUAAUCCACAUUUAAACUUUAACCUGUAGGGGGGCUCUUUGUGUUAGAUAAUGUAAGCAUAAAAGGAAGCUGAAUCACUAAUCAGAUUAAUCAUAUUUUGUAAGACUCAAAAGCUUCAUUAAAACGACCUGGUUUCCAAGUUACACAUUUUUGUUGUUGUUGUUGUUGACAGAGGAGCAGUUUAACAUAUAAAAGGGAUAACAGAAAUAUUCAAAUGCAACUUUUAAUGAACCUGUAGCAAACAAGAGCAAAGGGAGGAAAUUAUUUGCAAUGCUUUAAUUGAAAAUAAAGCAAAAAACAAAACAACGGAAAACCUACAUGACUGCUUCCUAGGAAUAAAUCCCCCUUUGGAAUAGAGAGCAGCUGUGGAGACAUCUGUGGGCUGAACAGAGUCCUAAAAGAACAAUUGCGCCUGCAUCUGUGGAGAUAAAAUACACAGGAAAGGAAUUGUUCCUCAAGAUGGAUUAUACCCAGAAGCUUUCCCACACGUAAUUUAGUCUGUGGUAAGAUUGAGGACUUUUGAGUUCCUGGGACUCAGGCGAGAUUUUUGGACUAAGUUGAUGUUAUAGGUUGAGAUCUUUUUAGACUUCAGGAUUGG